RNAcentral lists this ribosomal RNA (265 nucleotides) under uncultured archaeon. Its description in RNAcentral is "partial 16S ribosomal RNA". It matches the Rfam family "Archaeal small subunit ribosomal RNA", at positions 717 to 982 of the family's 1478-position model. The record is from RNAcentral.
ACACGACUACAUUAGAUACCCCUGUAGUCCAGGGUGUAAACGCUGCGGGCUUGGUGUUGGGGGUCCUUUGAGGGCGCCCAGUGCCGGAGAGAAGUUGUUAAGCCUGCUGCUUGGGGAGUACGUCCGCAAGGAUGAAACUUAAAGGAAUUGGCGGGGGAGCACAACAACGGGUGGAGCUUGCGGUUUAAUUGGAUUCAACGCCGGAAAUCUUACCGGGACCGACAGCAACAUGAAGGCCAAGCUGAAGACUUUGCCGGAUUAGCUG